GAUGAACGCUGGCGGCGUGCCUAAUACAUGCAAGUCGAGCGAACAGACGAGGAGCUUGCUCCUCUGACGUUAGCGGCGGACGGGUGAGUAACACGUGGAUAACCUACCUAUAAGACUGGGAUAACUUCGGGAAACCGGAGCUAAUACCGGAUAAUAUAUUGAACCGCAUGGUUCAAUAGUGAAAGACGGUUUUGCUGUCACUUAUAGAUGGAUCCGCGCCGCAUUAGCUAGUUGGUAAGGUAACGGCUUACCAAGGCAACGAUGCGUAGCCGACCUGAGAGGGUGAUCGGCCACACUGGAACUGAGACACGGUCCAGACUCCUACGGGAGGCAGCAGUAGGGAAUCUUGCGCAAUGGGCGAAAGCCUGACGCAGCAACGCCGCGUGAGUGAUGAAGGUCUUCGGAUCGUAAAACUCUGUUAUUAGGGAAGAACAAAUGUGUAAGUAACUAGGCACGUCUUGACGGUACCUAAUCAGAAAGCCACGGCUAACUACGUG
Molecule: ribosomal RNA, 497 nt
Filed under: uncultured bacterium
Lineage: Bacteria
Description: partial 16S ribosomal RNA
Rfam family: Bacterial small subunit ribosomal RNA
Source: RNAcentral